UACGGGGGGGGCAAGCGUUGUUCGGAAUUACUGGGCGUAAAGGGUGCGUAGGCGGCUUUCUAAGUCGGAUGUGAAAACUCUGGGCUCAACCCAGAGCCUGCAUCCGAAACUGGAAGGCUAGGGUGCUGGAGGGGAAAGCGGAAUUCCUGGUGUAGCGGUGAAAUGCGUAGAUAUCGUCAAGAACACCGAUAGCGAAGGCAGCUUACUAGGCUGUAACUGACGCUGAGGCACGAAAGUGUGGGGAUCAAACAGG
RNAcentral lists this ribosomal RNA (253 nucleotides) under uncultured prokaryote. RNAcentral describes it as "partial 16S ribosomal RNA". It matches the Rfam family "Bacterial small subunit ribosomal RNA", at positions 524 to 776 of the family's 1533-position model. The record is from RNAcentral.